Long non-coding RNA from Culex quinquefasciatus (southern house mosquito), 769 nucleotides. RefSeq lists it as uncharacterized. The record is from RefSeq and is a predicted model, not a curated record. The transcript has 2 exons. Lineage: Eukaryota; Metazoa; Arthropoda; Insecta; Diptera; Culicidae.
ACCGGUACGUACACGGAAUCGGUUGUUGCGUUUGAAACGGAAUAUGUGAACGAUUCGAAUUGAAUUCUGUUUAUGAAUUCCGUUUGAGUUGACUGGGCAAUAGCGCCACCUGAACUCUCUGAGAAACGUAACGCAAUCAGUUUGAUCGUUGGAUAAAAUCGGGCUGAUGGAAGCCGAUCGAGGCGUUAAAUUUCUCAGUGGGAAUGUCAAGCAAAAUAGUGUAAGCGAACCUGAACAUUCUUUAAAUUCACCACGAGAAAUGUCACAUCAAAGAUGACGUUUCCCCAGAUUUCAAAAGUGAGCAUUGUUUAUAUAAAAUCAAAACAUAUCGAGCAACAUUCAAAUUUAAUUUUAUUUAUCAAAUCGCUUAUAAAAGUCGCUAAAUUGCUCAAUGAAAUUAAGAAUUGAGUUGCACAAUACCCAGAAUACAGGAACCUGUGAACAACUGCCAUGGAUAUUUAUGUGAGCAUAGACAGCGAACAGAACCAGCAGCUGUAUUGCAGGGUGCGGGCGUGAUGUAAUGCAACGAGAAAAAGUGAAUCACUUUGAAUUAGAGCCUCUGAUAAUUGGCUAUGGUCAUUUGGGCAUGAUUAACCUCACGGAAACGACGGCCGUUAGUGAUAACGUCGAGCAACAUAUUCGCCUGCAGUUGUAUCAACCCAACGUUGUCGAUCAGCAUCAGCAUAUCAAACGCGCUGACGACCUGUGACUUCGCGUCAGCCGAUGACAGCAAGGUUCUGGACUUUUUUCUUAUGUCAACAUCAUUGGA